Molecule: microRNA precursor, 204 nt
Filed under: Oryza glumipatula
Lineage: Eukaryota; Viridiplantae; Streptophyta; Magnoliopsida; Poales; Poaceae
Description: MIR812 microRNA precursor family
Rfam family: MIR812 microRNA precursor family
Source: Rfam by way of RNAcentral
AAAAAGACAAACCCUGAUUUCCGUGCCUAACGUUUGACCGUCCGUCUUAUUUAAAAAAUUAUGAAAAAAAUUAAAAAGACAAGUCACGCAUAAAAUAUUAAUCAUGUUUUAUCAUCUAACAAUAAUGAAAAUACGAAUUAUAAAAGAAUUUCAUAUAAGACGGACAGUCAAAGUUGGACACGGAAAUUCAGGGUUUGCCUUUUU